RNAcentral lists this ribosomal RNA (447 nucleotides) under uncultured bacterium. Its description in RNAcentral is "SSU rRNA". It matches the Rfam family "Bacterial small subunit ribosomal RNA", at positions 26 to 518 of the family's 1533-position model. The record is from RNAcentral.
AGAACGAACGCUGGCGGCAGGCUUAACACAUGCAAGUCGAGCGCUGUAGCAAUACAGAGCGGCGCACGGGAGAGUAAUACAUGGGAACCUACCUUUUGGUUCGGGAUAACGUCGGGAAACUGACGCUAAUACCGAAUAAGUCCUUCGGGAGAAAGAUUUAUCGCCGAAAGAUGGGCCCAUGUUGGAUUAGCUAGUUGGUGAGGUAACGGCUCACCAAGGCUACGAUCCAUAGCGGGUCUGAGAGGAUGAUCCGCCUCACUGGGACUGAGACACGGCCCAGACUCCUACGGGAGGCAGCAGUGGGGAAUAUUGGACAAUGGGGGCAACCCUGAUCCAGCCAUGCCGCGUGAGUGAUGAAGGCCUUCGGGUUGUAAAGCUCGUUUUGGUGGGGACGAUGAUGACGGUACCCACAGAAUAAGCUCCGGCUAACUUCGUGCCAGCAGCCGC